This 226-nucleotide ribosomal RNA is filed under the name uncultured bacterium. RNAcentral's name for it is "partial 16S ribosomal RNA". It matches the Rfam family "Bacterial small subunit ribosomal RNA", at positions 538 to 763 of the family's 1533-position model. The record is from RNAcentral.
GCGUUGUCCGGAAUUAUUGGGCGUAAAGAGCGUGUAGGCGGUUCGGUAAGUCUGCUGUGAAAACCUGGGGCUCAACCCUGGGCGUGCAGUGGAUACUGCCGGGCUAGAGGAUGGUAGAGGCGAGUGGAAUUCCCGGUGUAGCGGUGAAAUGCGCAGAUAUCGGGAGGAACACCAGUAGCGAAGGCGGCUCGCUGGGCCAUUCCUGACGCUGAGACGCGAAAGCAUG